UACAGAGGGUGCAAGCGUUAAUCGGAGUUACUGGGCGUAAAGGGCGCGUAGGCGGUCAUGCAAGUGAGAUGUGAAAUCCCCGGGCUUAACCUGGGAACUGCAUUUUAGACUGUGUGACUGGAGUACUGUAGAGGAUAGUGGAAUUUCCGGUGUAGCGGUGAAAUGCGUAGAGAUCGGAAGGAACACCAGUGGCGAAGGCGACUGUCUGGACAGAUACUGACGCUGAGGCACGAAGGCCGGGGGAGCAAACGGG
This 253-nucleotide ribosomal RNA is filed under the name uncultured bacterium. Its description in RNAcentral is "partial 16S ribosomal RNA". It matches the Rfam family "Bacterial small subunit ribosomal RNA", at positions 524 to 776 of the family's 1533-position model. The record is from RNAcentral.